GGAGAGACAAGCCCUGUGUCAGCCUGACACAAAUCUUCUUUUUAUCAGUGACCUGAAAAUUAAUGUUAAACUGCCUCAAUAAGAGGAUUUCAUUAUCAGACAUGUAGCUUUAGACAGCUGAGAGCAAGUCUUUAAAGCUACAUGUCUGAUUAAUAAGAAUGGACAGUAAAGAAGCAGCCAAAGUCCUGAUGAUACAAAGUCUAAACAAAUAGGUCUUCAACUCCUUUUUGACAAACAUUCACAGUGUCCACAGUUCUCAGUGCAAGAGGGGGAGAGUUGGCAAGUUUCGAGCAAACACUGCAAAUACAUGGUCUCCUUCAGUUCGAAGUGUGGUCCAAGGGCCAGCCAGCAAACCCUGAUCAGGGGACCUUAAGAGUCCUUGUGAUUGUGUUCAGAGCUUUGCAUGGGCAAGCUGCAGCUUGUAUCACAAGUAAUUUAAAUUAGAUUCUGAAUUAAAUGGGGAGCCAGUGAAAAGAGUUUAGGAUGGGUGUGACAUGAGACCAUUGAGAUGAUUUUUUUCAGGAGCUGAGCUGCAGCAUUUUGAACCUUAGAGUCACAGGUGCCAUCAAUUGCACUCACGUGCGCAUCACUGGGCCUUUGGGGCCAAAUGAGGGCGACUUUGUUAAUUGCAGGUCAUACCACAGCCUCAACAUUCAGGUAACUUGCAUAUGAUAUACAUGCCAUCUGCACAUUGAGACACACACAGAGUCCCCAAAAAUCUCCCCUGUGCCUGUGAGGUUUGCACCGAUUGAUAUUUUAAGACUCAUUGUUCAGUCACACCAGCUAAGUGCCUGCAUGGACACUAACUACUGAAAUGUCUUUUGCAUCGCUACUCACAGGACAGAGAGUGUCAAAGCUUUAUCAAGGGAAGGCAAAAGCACAUUGCUGCCUUUCAUCUGCUGCAGUCAUAUUAUAGUUCUUUUUGCUGUUGCAGAUGACCUGCGAUCACAAUUGUCUUAUCACCAGCCUAGAUGCGAAGUGGCCCGGCUCGGUUCAUGACUCUCGGAUCUUCCGGGAGUCUAGGCUCUGCCGAACAUUGGAGCAGGGUGUGGCUCUUGCACUAUGCACAUUGUGUUUUGAUGUUCAUCAGACUCCCUGUGACACUGACCAUGACAUCUCCCUUCAUUCACAGGACUUCUCCAUGGAGUGCUGCUUGGGGACCGAGGCUAUCCCUGCCUGCCCUACCUUAUGACCCCCUAUCCUGACCCUGGUGCAGGGCCACAAACACAAUUCAAUUAUGGUUCUCUCCCGCACCAGGGUCAGGAUAGAGAUGACCUUUGGCAUCCUGAAGGCUCGCUUCAGCUGCCUGCGUGACCUGAGGGUGACCCCACGCCGGGCCUGCCGCAUUAUUACAUCCUGUGCUGUGUUGCACAACAUAGCCACCAUUCGGAGGGAGGCAUUGGGAGGGAGGGUCCCACCUGCUGACCCACUCCCCCCCGAUGUGGUGGAUCCAAUCACAUUAGACCAUCCCACUGGCAGGGCUGUGUGGCGGGCUUUAACGGAACAAUUUUUCACGUGAUUUGGCACUUUUGGUUUACAAAGAGAGGAGACAGAGACCUUUGACUUCCUUUUUUUUCUUUUUAUUAAUGAUAUUUGUUGUUAAUCCUUCUGGCCCCCUCUGUCUCGUUCCUGGAAUGGAGAGGAAAAUUUUAGUUGGACUACAUUUCAAGUUAUGAUGUGGCAGCUCUCCAAACAUUACCCUCUUUUCUUCGAGCAGUUUCUCCACCUCGAGCUUGGCCUUCUUAAUUAGCAGCUGCUUUAACUCUGUAUCCAGCUCGAGGUGUCUUUUGUACAGUGCCCUUACAUUGUCUGUUCUGGGCUGGGGACAAAUAAUGCUGUUGAGAUCCUUUUACAUUUACACAUUGUCAGUGAUCAAAGCUCAAAAUCCAGGUUACGUCAAUACCUCCCGUGCUCUCCUUGGCCUUGGGCUGGGGCUGGGGGGGAGGGUCACACGCUCCAGGGGGGACAGGGGGAUCUCCUCAUCCUGCACAUCAUAGCAUGAGAAAAAAAUGAGACAACCUGAAGCAA
Molecule: long non-coding RNA, 2028 nt
Filed under: Xyrichtys novacula (pearly razorfish)
Lineage: Eukaryota; Metazoa; Chordata; Actinopteri; Labriformes; Labridae
Source: RNAcentral